UAAACAAUAAACAAUUUUCCGCAGCGAAUAAUAUAAAUAUGUGCUAGAGUGUGUUCCGAUUUCCAUCAGCCGUCAUCAAUAACCCGACUUGACUCGAACCGAAUCGAAUGUCCAGAACAGGAGGCUGCUAGUAUUCUAUUGGCACUCGAUAAGUGAGGCUAAAACAAUUCAUUAUUGUGUGUCAUAAGCACACACUUUGCACUCGAGCCGAGGGAAACUCGAACGGAAACGUGAAGAAAACUGGCACUGGUAACUGGUAUUGGUACUGGUGACGUAACCCAAAGAAAACUCGACUGUCAGUUGCACAUACGCCGAAAGCAAAUUUAAAUGUUAAUCAAAUGCCGCUACUGAGGAAUAUAUAAGUACAACAUGGGCGGAAGGCCCAAAAAGAUGAAACCGAAAAUAAGAGAAUCGAAGGCAAAUUUCGCAUGCAUGCACACGAAAAUGAGUUUGAUGUGGGGUAGCUCGAGGAUGAGCGGUUCACAAAUGUAAUUGACAGUUCAAGUGACAGCGGGACGGCGGGAAAAGUAAAGGAUUCUUUUCGUCCCCAAUGAAAGGAAGGCCACAAUAAAAAUUCACGGCAACACACAUCCUCUGUCCACUUUUCAAAAAUGCAAAAUGCGCGCCACAAACAAUUUUUAAUU
Non-coding RNA from Drosophila melanogaster (fruit fly), 644 nucleotides. The record is from Ensembl. NCBI's taxonomy places the organism in Eukaryota, Metazoa, Arthropoda, Insecta, Diptera, Drosophilidae.